This 85-nucleotide microRNA precursor is filed under the name Phalacrocorax carbo (great cormorant). Its description in RNAcentral is "mir-1781 microRNA precursor family". It matches the Rfam family "mir-1781 microRNA precursor family". Lineage: Eukaryota; Metazoa; Chordata; Aves; Suliformes; Phalacrocoracidae. The record is from Rfam by way of RNAcentral.
CAAGGAGGUGGUUUAACAGCUCAGUGAUUUAAAGCAAUCAAAUUCCUUUAGCUUUAAAUCAUGCAGCUGUUGAACAAGUUCUUGC